Molecule: ribosomal RNA, 407 nt
Filed under: uncultured bacterium
Lineage: Bacteria
Description: partial 16S ribosomal RNA
Rfam family: Bacterial small subunit ribosomal RNA
Source: RNAcentral
AUUGAACGCUGGCGGCAGGCCUAACACAUGCAAGUCGAGCGGAGCGGCGGACGGGUGCGUAAUACCUAGGAAUCUGACUGUUAGUGGGGGAUAACGUCCGGAAAUGGGCGCUGAUACCGCAUACUCUCAGAUUAGCAUAGGUCGGAUUAGCUAGUUGGUGGGGUAAAGGCCUACCAAGGCGACGAUCCGUAACUGGUCUGAGAGGAUGAUCAGUCACACUGGAACUGAGACACGGUCCAGACUCCUACGGGAGGCAGCAGUGGGGAAUAUUGCACAAUGGGCGAAAGCCUGAUACAGCCAUGCCGCGUGUGUGAAGAAGGCCUUCGGAUUGUAAAGCACUUUAAGUUGGGAGGCGUUACCAACAGAAGAAGCACCGGCUAACUUCGUGCCAGCAGCCGCGGUAAUAC